This 444-nucleotide ribosomal RNA is filed under the name uncultured bacterium. Its description in RNAcentral is "SSU rRNA". It matches the Rfam family "Bacterial small subunit ribosomal RNA", at positions 26 to 518 of the family's 1533-position model. The record is from RNAcentral.
AGAGCGAACGCUGGCGGCAGGCCUAAAACAUGCAAGUCGAACGAACCCUUCGGGGUUAGUGGCGGACGGGUGAGUAACACGUGGGAACGUGCCCUUUGGUUCGGAACAACUCAGGGAAACUUGAGCUAAUACCGGAUGUGCCCUUCGGGGGAAAGAUUUAUCGCCAUUGGAGCGGCCCGCGUCUGAUUAGCUAGUUGGUGAGGUAAAGGCUCACCAAGGCGACGAUCAGUAGCUGGUCUGAGAGGAUGAUCAGCCACACUGGGACUGAGACACGGCCCAGACUCCUACGGGAGGCAGCAGUUAGGAAUCUUGCGCAAUGGGCGAAAGCCUGACGCAGCCAUGCCGCGUGAAUGAUGAAGGUCUUAGGAUUGUAAAAUUCUUUCAGCAGGGAAGAUAAUGACGGUACCUGCAGAAGAGCUCCGGCUAACUCGCGCCAGCAGCCGC